This 460-nucleotide ribosomal RNA is filed under the name uncultured bacterium. RNAcentral's name for it is "partial 16S ribosomal RNA". It matches the Rfam family "Bacterial small subunit ribosomal RNA", at positions 338 to 795 of the family's 1533-position model. The record is from RNAcentral.
CCUACGGGUGGCAGCAGUGAGGAAUAUUGGUCAAUGGCCGGAAGGCUGAACCAGCCAAGCCGCGUGAAGGACGAAGGUGCCAAGCAUUGUAAACUUCUUUUGUCAAGGGACAAAAUCAGGCUCGAGAGCCUGACCGAGGGUACUUGAAGAAAAAGCAUCGGCUAACUCCGUGCCAGCAGCCGCGGUAAUACGGAGGAUGCGAGCGUUAUCCGGAUUUAUUGGGUUUAAAGGGUGCGUAGGCGGGCUGUUAAGUCAGCGGUAAAAGCCCGGGGCUCAACCUCGGCGCUACCGCCAAAACUAUUAGACUAGAGUGCAGGAGGGGUAAGUGGAAUUCCUAGUGUAGCGGUGGAAUGCGUAGAUAUUAGGAGGAACAUCAGGGGCGAAGGCGACUUACUGGACUGUAACUGACACUGAGGCACGAAAGCGUGGGGAGCAAACAGGAUUAGAUACCCUUGUAGUC